This 85-nucleotide transfer RNA is filed under the name Paralysiella testudinis. RNAcentral's name for it is "Neisseriaceae bacterium 26B tRNA-Leu". It matches the Rfam family "tRNA". From Rfam's summary of the family: Transfer RNA (tRNA) molecules are approximately 80 nucleotides in length. The record is from RNAcentral. Lineage: Bacteria; Pseudomonadati; Pseudomonadota; Betaproteobacteria; Neisseriales; Neisseriaceae.
GCGGACGUGGCGGAAUUGGUAGACGCACUGGAUUUAGGUUCCAGCGCCGUAAGGUGUGAGAGUUCGAGUCUCUCCGUCCGCACCA